RNAcentral lists this transfer RNA (68 nucleotides) under Eupolyphaga sp. NS-2016. RNAcentral's name for it is "tRNA-Cys". Lineage: Eukaryota; Metazoa; Arthropoda; Insecta; Blattodea; Corydiidae. The record is from RNAcentral.
GGUCUUAUAUUCAUAGAUGAUGUUAGAUUGCAAAUCUAAAGGAGUAGAUAAAAGUUUUACUAAGGCUU